CAACCUACAAAAUCAUUUUUGUGAAUCAACAUUUCUAAUAUUUCCACAAAUGAAAAAGAAACAUCGAAUCAGAGGAAUUAACGUUCUCGGUAUGAUCGGGAUCAAUUUAAAUGAUCGAUCGUGAACAGUGACGGUGAUAAAAAGCGACCUAAGGGGGUAGAAAAAGAGCGUGUCGCGUCGACUUCCGUGGCACGUACCGGCUACGUUCCAUUUACGUAAAAACAGCAACGUUGUUGCUGGAAAGCUUGAAGGAAGAAAAAGAA
Molecule: non-coding RNA, 263 nt
Organism: Osmia lignaria (orchard mason bee)
Lineage: Eukaryota; Metazoa; Arthropoda; Insecta; Hymenoptera; Megachilidae
Source: RefSeq, a predicted model, not a curated record